Molecule: ribosomal RNA, 247 nt
Filed under: uncultured bacterium
Lineage: Bacteria
Description: partial 16S ribosomal RNA
Rfam family: Bacterial small subunit ribosomal RNA
Source: RNAcentral
AUACGUAGGGAGCGAGCGUUGUCCGGAAUUACUGGGUGUAAAGGGAGUGUAGGCGGGACGGUAAGUCAGGUGUGAAAUUUAUGGGCUCAACUCAUAAACUGCACUUGAAACUGCUGUUCUUGAGUGAAGUAGAGGUUGGCGGAAUUCCUAGUGUAGCGGUGAAAUGCGUAGAUAUUAGGAGGAACAUCAGUGGCGAAGGCGGCCAACUGGGCUUUUACUGACGCUGAGGCUCGAAAGCGUGGGGAGC